Molecule: ribosomal RNA, 492 nt
Filed under: uncultured bacterium
Lineage: Bacteria
Description: partial 16S ribosomal RNA
Rfam family: Bacterial small subunit ribosomal RNA
Source: RNAcentral
AGUGAACGCUGGCGGUAGGCCUAACACAUGCAAGUCGAACGGCAGCACAGUAAGAGCUUGCUCUUACGGGUGGCGAGUGGCGGACGGGUGAGGAGUACAUCGGAAUCUACUUUUUCGUGGGGGAUAACGUAGGGACACUUACGCUAAUACAGCAUACGCCCUACGGGUGAAAGCAGGGGAUCUUCGGACCUUGCGCGAUUGAAUGAGCCGAUGUCGGAUUAGCUAGUUGGCGGGGUAAAGGCCCACCAAGGCGACGAUCCGUAGCUGGUCUGAGAGGAUGGUCAGCCACACUGGAACUGAGACACGGUCCAGGCGCCUACGGGAGGCAGCAGUGGGGAAUAUUAGGCAAUGGGCGGAAGCAUGAUCCAGCCAUACCGCGUGGGUUGAGGAGGCCUUCGGGUUGUAAAGCCCUUUUGUUGGUAAAGAAAAGCAGCAGGUUAAUACCCAGCUGUUCUGACGGUACCCAAAGAAUAAGCACCGGCUAACUUCGUG